GGGAGGCGGGGGGCGGCGGCGGGCGGCGGAGCGCGGGGGCUGGUUCUUGGUCCCCGGGAGAAGCCAAGAAGGUAUCAGAAUGGCUUGUGGGUUUGGCUUAAAGCUACAGAAAAGACAGAGGGAGAGAAGAAAAAAGCCUGCCAGAGCCGAGGUAGCUGCACGGCCAAGAGCUAUCCUGGGAGAGCUAUUGAAAGAGCCUUGAAACUUUUUUUUUUGUUUCAAAUUCUGCGACACUUGAGCCGCUCUGCACCCAGUUUUUGGAUGGAGAAAAGGAUAGUCAAGAAAGCCAAGUGUUCAUCAAGAGAACAGGACUCAGGAAUGCUUGGAACAAGAGUCCUGGUGGCCAUGAAGAGGCAUUAGAAACAACUGCAAGUCUGCAUUCCAUCUUUGAUAAAGAAUAAGCUGCUACUUCCCAACAAAACUGUCUGAUUGGUUUCUAGCCAAGCGGGGACCUCGAGGCUUUUAUGGGGACCAGAGAAGUUGGGAUAAUGCUGGAGCCCAAAGCCAUUGAGCUGCUGGCUGACGUCACACAUAGCAGAGUGAGAGCCCUCCAUGGCCAUGGACGGAGCCAGCACUCACGUUCAAGUAUUUGAUCUCCUUGUCCUCGGUCGCGAGUCCCCCUCUUCACCUGGCACUUGGGACAGACCUAGACUUGGUGUCUAGGACUUCUUGUUAUCUGGACAGAAGGAUCGAGUGUCAGCUUGUUUUCUUUGAGACACGUGGACCUGUGUUAAUGGUGCUGAGGAGGAAUUACAUGAUGUUGCAGGUGAUAAAACAGAAAUAAGGAAUCCAUACUCUUUUGAAGCCUACAUUUAAACUGGAGAGAUGGACAAGCAAAAUAAAUGGAGUGGGGAAGGCGACUGUGAAGGCAACCUUCUUGAAGAUGGCAGUGAGUCUUCAAAGAGUCACUUCAAUGGAUGGAGGCCAAGGUGACUUCAGACGUGGACAGGACAUCUCGUGAGGAGACCCUGCUUGGCUGGAAGGUUCUCCUAGCAUUGACUUGGUUGUGCUAAGAAACGUGGGCAUCCGGUGUUGUUCUUCAGGGUCGUCGCAAGCCAAGUCCGCAGAUGAUUUGGAGCAUGUGGGGCUUGCUUUAAAGGCUGCCUGGGAGAGCCCCCCCCCCCACCCGCACUGCUCACACUGUCCCCAGCCCGCCAGUGGAACCAAAGACUUGAGAUCUCCACUGUGCCUUACUCCCCAUAACCAGUACCUCGUCUCACAUCCCUCUCCCACAGCCAGCACACAUAGGACAUCGAGUUACCGGCUCUGGCUUCUCCCGGGUGCCCUUGAUCAAGCAAGCACGGCCCUCCCUCCUCCAUCACCAAGGAGAUUCAGGAAUUUGUGGGACCCAGCUCAUGUCGGGUUAUUGAGUAACUGGCGGGGCAUUGAAUGUCAGGGCUGAGAAAACAAAGCUGCCUACCUGUUGGGCCAGAUGACUUCACAGCCCCAGCUGGUCUUCUGGCGCGGGCUUUCUCCAGCUUCCGUCAGUGACGCCUUCCAACAAGCCCCGCCCGCAUCGUGCUGUUCUAAACACCCAACUUGAGGAUUCUUGCUGUGCUCAGGGAGAAGGAGAACAGGCUCAACCACCACCAGCCAAAGGCACAUCAGGUAUCAGGGUAAUUGAUGAGUAGGGAUUGGGUUGAUGGAAGAAGACCCCCAUCCGCCGUCUAAUUGGGCUGUGGGUGAAAAACAAAGAUGUGGCACGUUUGGGGAGUAAAAUCUGGCUGGCACGUGUUCGCCUGCUUCUGGACUUGUGGCUCUUCUCUCAGUCGGCUUGGCGUUGGAGUCCCCUGAGCAUGGGCAAUUCCCCUGUCAUCUCCCUGAGGGAGGGAUCUGGUGACUUCAUCUCUGAAGCUUCCUGGUGUGCAGCACAGAACCAGUGUCCGAGGGUUGGAUUAGACCUUGGAGAAGUCAUGUCUUCUCUCCGGCCCUUGACUUCCCUAGCUUAAAAUGGGCAUAAUGUCCUUUCUCCUUCCCAAGCUUUUAAAGAAGACUCUAAGGGCGCCUGGGUGGCUCAGUGGGUUAAAGCCUCUGCCUUCGGCUCGGGUCAUGAUCCAGGGUCCUGGGAUCAAGCCCCGCAUAGGGCUCUCUGCUCUGCAGGGAGCCUGCUUCCUCUUCUCUCUCUGUCUGCCUCUCUGCCUAGUUUCGCUCUGUCAAAUAAAAAAAAAUUAUUAAAAAAAAUAAUAAAGAAGACUCUAGUUCCUGCUCUGCA
This is a long non-coding RNA of Mustela lutreola (European mink), 2212 nucleotides long. RefSeq lists it as uncharacterized. The record is from RefSeq and is a predicted model, not a curated record. Lineage: Eukaryota; Metazoa; Chordata; Mammalia; Carnivora; Mustelidae. The transcript has 12 exons.